GACGAACGCUGGCGGCGUGCUUAACACAUGCAAGUCGAACGGAAAGGCCCUGCUUGCAGGGUACUCGAGUGGCGAACGGGUGAGUAACACGUGGGUGAUCUGCCCUGCACUUCGGGAUAAGCUUGGGAAACUGGGUCUAAUACCGGAUAGGAACCAUCUUUAGUGUGGUGGUUGGAAAGUUUUUUCGGUGUAGGAUGAGCGCGCGGCCUAUCAGCUUGUUGGUGGGGUAAUGGCCUACCAAGGCGGCGACGGGUCGCCGGCCUGAGAGGGUGUACGGCCACAUGGCGACUGGGAUACGGCCCAGACUCCUGCGGGAGGCAGCAGGGGGGAAUAUUGCACAAUGGGCGCAAGCCUGAUGCAGCGACGACGCGUGGGGGAUGAAGGCCGUAGGGUUGUAAACUCCUUUCGCUAGGGACGAAGCUUUGUUGUGACGGUACCUAGAGAAGAAGCACCGGCUAACUACGUG
Molecule: ribosomal RNA, 466 nt
Filed under: uncultured bacterium
Lineage: Bacteria
Description: partial 16S ribosomal RNA
Rfam family: Bacterial small subunit ribosomal RNA
Source: RNAcentral